This 271-nucleotide ribosomal RNA is filed under the name uncultured prokaryote. Its description in RNAcentral is "partial 16S ribosomal RNA". It matches the Rfam family "Bacterial small subunit ribosomal RNA", at positions 524 to 794 of the family's 1533-position model. The record is from RNAcentral.
UACGGAGGAUCCGAGCGUCAUCCGGAUUUAUUGGGUUUAAAGGGUGCGCAGGCGGAAGAUUAAGUCGGCGGUGAAAUUUUGCAGCUCAACUGUAAAAGUGCCUUCGAAACUGGUUUUCUUGAGUGUGGAUGAAGUAGGCGGAAUUUGUGGUGUAGCGGUGAAAUGCAUAGAUAUCACGAGGAACUCCGAUUGCGUAGGCAGCUUACUAAACCAUAACUGACGCUCAUGCACGAAGGCGUGGGGAUCAAACAGGAUUAGAUACCCGGGUAGU